Molecule: ribosomal RNA, 615 nt
Filed under: Triticum aestivum (bread wheat)
Lineage: Eukaryota; Viridiplantae; Streptophyta; Magnoliopsida; Poales; Poaceae
Description: partial small subunit ribosomal RNA
Source: RNAcentral
CUAUGCUUCGCAUUGGCACUUCCAUCUCGGUUGGUACUGGGUCCGCGACCCUGUUCUGGUUUGAUCGGUGGAUUGGCGGCAUCCCUCUGGCCAUUCGUUUUCCCGAGCUAUUCGCCAUUGCUGUUGACCCUCGAGUCUCUGUCGAGUCACCCCUUUGGCCCGCCCGAAGUAGCCGCCUGGGAUGCCCUCCUCAAGGACAUCGCCCUUCUCCCGAUGAGUGUCAACGACACCCCGGACGCCAUCUCUUGGCAUCUGGAGUCUUCUGGUUGCUUCUCCACCAAAUCUUUGUACGCAGCCAUCGCCCCCUCGCCCGCCCUCGAGCCCUUCAGUCUGAUCUGGGACAUCCGCUUGCCCCUGAAAAUCAGGAUCUUCCUGUGGCAAUGGAUCCGUGGCCGCCUCCCUUCCGGAGUAGAGGUCCUCAAGCGUAAUGGACCCAGAGAUGGGCUUUGCCCCCUGUGCGGCACGGUGGAAGAUGCUAAUCACAUCUUCUUCUCGUGCUCCACGGCCCAGUUUCUUUGGUCCAGUUUCCGCGAGACGGUUAGCGGCCAGUGGUGUAAUUCCAACUUCCCUGACCUUCUCGCGGAGAUCCAUGCCUCCCCCCCUCGAUACCGUCAU